Molecule: ribosomal RNA, 468 nt
Filed under: uncultured bacterium
Lineage: Bacteria
Description: partial 16S ribosomal RNA
Rfam family: Bacterial small subunit ribosomal RNA
Source: RNAcentral
GACGAACGCUGGCGGCGUGCUUAACACAUGCCAGUCGAACGGAAAGGCCCUGCUUUUGUGGGGUGCUCGAGUGGCGAACGGGUGAGUAACACGUGAGUAACCUGCCCUUGACUUUGGGAUAACUUCAGGAAACUGGGGCUAAUACCGGAUAGGAGCUCCUGCUGCAUGGUGGGGGUUGGAAAGUUUCGGCGGUUGGGGAUGGACUCGCGGCUUAUCAGCUUGUUGGUGGGGUAGUGGCUUACCAUGGCUUUGACGGGUAGCCGGCCUGAGAGGGUGACCGGCCACAUUGGGACUGAGAUACGGCCCAGACUCCUACGGGAGGCAGCAGUGGGGAAUAUUGCACAAUGGGCGGAAGCCUGAUGCAGCAACGCCGCGUGCGGGAUGACGGCCUUCGGGUUGUAAACCGCUUUCGCCUGUGACGAAGCGUGAGUGACGGUAAUGGGUAAAGAAGCACCGGCUAACUACGUG